This 110-nucleotide transfer RNA is filed under the name Candidatus Bathyarchaeota archaeon. Its description in RNAcentral is "tRNA-Asn". Lineage: Archaea; Thermoproteati; Candidatus Bathyarchaeota. RNAcentral also lists the same sequence under 1 other name. The record is from RNAcentral.
GCCAGCGUGGCUCAGAAGGUAGUCAUUAGGCCCAAAAUAAAUGGGAUGCGGCGGGCUGUUAACCCGUCGGUCGGAGGUUCGAAUAUAUUGAGAAAAUCCUCCCGCUGGCG